This 741-nucleotide long non-coding RNA is filed under the name Papio anubis (olive baboon). RNAcentral describes it as "lncRNA (ENSPANG00000043556.1)". The record is from RNAcentral. Lineage: Eukaryota; Metazoa; Chordata; Mammalia; Primates; Cercopithecidae.
AUGAGUGCCCUUGGGCCUCUUACAAGAGCACUCAUCCAUCCCAUUUAUGAGGGUUCUGUCUCCUUCUGUCCUCAUGGCUUCAUCACUGCCCAAAGGCCUCACUUUCCUUUUUUUUUUUUUUUUUUUUUUGAUGGAGUUUUGCUCUUGUUGCCCAGGCUGGAGUGCAAUAGUGCGAUCUUGGCUCACCACAACCUCCGCCUCCCGGGUUCAAGCAAUUCUUCUGCCUCAGUCUCCCGAGUAGCUGGGAUUACAGUGGUUACUGCAGUUGCCAAUCUAUGUGAAAACAAAAUAAAACAUCUGGUGAACUACCAAGUAAAUAGGUUGGAAAGUGACUGAAGUUAGAAAACAAUCUACAUGUAACUUCUGAAGUUGUAUUUAGGGAAGCUGACUGCCAUGUUGUGACGAUACUCAAGCAGCCUGUGGAGAGCCAACAUUGGGGAAACGGAGGCCUCCUAUUGAGGGCCAGCACCAACUCGCCAGUCACACAAAUAAGCCCCCUUAAAAGCAGAUCCUCCAGCUCCAGCCAAACAUUCAGAUGACUGCAGACCUGGCUGACUUGAUUCCCACCUCAAGAGAGACCCCACAUCAGAAACACCCAGCUAAGCCACUCUCAAAUCCCCGACCCACAGAAACUGUGAGGAUAAUAAAUGUUUAUUGUUCUUUUAAGCCACCGAGUUUUAAGGUAAUUUGUUACACACAAUCAGUAACUAACCCAGAGGGCAUUUCUCAUUCCAAUGCUGC